AUGGCCAUGGCAACGGCGGCGACGGAGGAGGACAGGACGCGGUUGUGCGACCUCCCGGAGGCGUGCGUGGCGCACGUGCUCGCGCUCACCUCGCCGCGGGACGCGUGCCGCUGCGCCGCCGUGUCGCCGUGCUUCCGCGACGCGGCCGAGUCCGACGUCAUCUGGGCGCGCUUCCUCCCGCUGGACUACCGCGCCAUCCUCCAGCUGCACCAGGCGCCGGCGCGGCGCCUCCCCCUCUCGCGCUCCGGCUCCAUGGCGGCGUCGCCGUCGGGCUCGAGCAAGAAGGAGGCCUUCCUCGGGCUCACCGACGUGGCCGUGCUGGUGGAGGACGGCGGCAUGGCGGUGUGGCUGGCCAGGGGGAGCGGGGCCAAGUGCGUGGCGCUGUCGGCGAGGAGGCUCAGCCUGCCGUGGGAGGACGGCGAGUUCAGCUGGAGGUGGACGCCCCACCCGCUCUCCAGGUUCGCGGAUGUGGCCCAGCUGGUGGAUUGCAUGUGCCUGGACAUCUACGGCCGGCUCCCCACCACGGCGCUGACGCCGGCCACUGCCUACGCAACAUACCUCGUCUUCGCCACCACGGACGCCCACCGCGGCCUGAGCUUCCCGGACCAGGAGACAACGGUUAGCCUGGGUGGCAGUGCCCCAUCCCGGCAUACCGUGUGCAUCCGCCCCGACACCGCUGAGGCACGCAGGUUCAGAGGCGGGAAAGGUGCGCACGGCGUCGACGUGAGGGGGCCGGUGCUGCGCGGCGACGGGUGGUGGGAGAUAGAGAUGGGGCGGCUGCGCACCGGCAACGAGGCAGUGGUGGGGGAGGAGGUGGCAGUGAGCUUUGAGAUGCUGGGGUGGUACCCCAAGCGCGGGCUCGUCGUGGAAGGCGUCGAGUUCAGGCCCCUAUGA
RNAcentral lists this ribosomal RNA (894 nucleotides) under Triticum aestivum (bread wheat). RNAcentral's name for it is "partial small subunit ribosomal RNA". The record is from RNAcentral. Lineage: Eukaryota; Viridiplantae; Streptophyta; Magnoliopsida; Poales; Poaceae.